This 69-nucleotide transfer RNA is filed under the name Oncicola luehei. RNAcentral's name for it is "tRNA-Ser". The record is from RNAcentral. Lineage: Eukaryota; Metazoa; Acanthocephala; Archiacanthocephala; Oligacanthorhynchida; Oligacanthorhynchidae.
UUAUUGUUAGCAUGUCAUGGGCCGUCUAUGUUUCUUGAACAGGUGCGAGGUUCGUGGUUUUGCAAUAAU